Long non-coding RNA from Sphaeramia orbicularis (orbiculate cardinalfish), 343 nucleotides. RefSeq lists it as uncharacterized. The record is from RefSeq and is a predicted model, not a curated record. The transcript has 3 exons. Lineage: Eukaryota; Metazoa; Chordata; Actinopteri; Kurtiformes; Apogonidae.
GACAAAAAAAGAAAAUCACAACAAAAGACAUAAAAGAACAGAAUGAAAAUAAAAAACAACAUCCUGUACAAACACUAUGGCCCAAUAAUUUAAGAAAAUAGUGUCUCUAAAACGUUCAUAUUGCUUUGUACCUGCACCGACCAGGCCCACUUCACCCAGUGCAACAGCAGGUAGUUCAGAUACCCCAGAUACCCCACAUACCCCAGGUACCCCACAUACCCCAGGUACCCAGGAUACAUCAGAUACCCCACAUAUCCCAGGUCCCCCAGAUACCCCCAGUCCCGAUGCCCCUCCAGAGGGUGUGGGGUCAGCCUGCAGCCUUGUGGCAGAUGCAGAUGUGGAA